RNAcentral lists this ribosomal RNA (169 nucleotides) under Thelephoraceae sp. Its description in RNAcentral is "partial large subunit ribosomal RNA". It matches the Rfam family "Eukaryotic large subunit ribosomal RNA", at positions 99 to 260 of the family's 3401-position model. The record is from RNAcentral. Lineage: Eukaryota; Fungi; Basidiomycota; Agaricomycetes; Thelephorales; Thelephoraceae.
CGGGAAGAGCUCAAAUUUAAAAUCUGGCGUGCCUCUGGUCGUCCGAAUUGUAGUCUGAAGAAGCGUCUUCUGUGUUGGACCGUGCACAAGUUCCCUGGAACGGGGCGUCAUAGAGGGUGAGAAUCCCGUAUAUGGCACGGACUACCGGAGCUCUGUGAUACACUCUCAA